GCCCUGUUAGCUCAGCGGUAGAGCGCCUCACUAGUAAUGAGGAGGUAACUGGUUCGACUCCAGUACAGGGCA
RNAcentral lists this transfer RNA (72 nucleotides) under Truncatella angustata. It matches the Rfam family "tRNA". From Rfam's summary of the family: Transfer RNA (tRNA) molecules are approximately 80 nucleotides in length. Their secondary structure includes four short double-helical elements and three loops (D, anti-codon, and T loops). The record is from Rfam by way of RNAcentral. Lineage: Eukaryota; Fungi; Ascomycota; Sordariomycetes; Amphisphaeriales; Sporocadaceae.